AAGCAACACUCUGUGGCAGAUAUCUAGUUGCCUGCCUCAAUUUCAGCUUGCUAUAGUAAAAAAAAAAAAAAAAAGUCUGAUCUAUUCCCGUGGUCUCUGUUGUGUGAGGUCAUUUGUUAUACAGACUAGAACAGC
Molecule: small nucleolar RNA, 135 nt
Filed under: Sphenodon punctatus (tuatara)
Lineage: Eukaryota; Metazoa; Chordata; Lepidosauria; Sphenodontia; Sphenodontidae
Description: Small nucleolar RNA SNORA28 (ENSSPUG00000004151.1)
Rfam family: Small nucleolar RNA SNORA28
About the family: ACA28 is a member of the H/ACA class of snoRNA that guide the sites of modification of uridines to pseudouridines.
Source: Rfam by way of RNAcentral